GUCAUUUUCACCCAGGAGCAUAAACCGUAUCUUAAUAAAUUAGUCUUAGCUAAUGGCGAUUGUCUGCCUGAUCCUGAGCUGAUAACAGAAUGGGUAGACGGAGUUAACGAGUGGCCAGAGAUUCAUUGGCCCACCAUCUGGUUGACAAGCCCAGUAUGUAUACACACGAAAAAGUAGAACAAGUAGGCAUUUUUCUUGACGUUUCAGUCAAUUCACGCA
This is a long non-coding RNA of Alosa sapidissima (American shad), 219 nucleotides long. RefSeq lists it as uncharacterized. The record is from RefSeq and is a predicted model, not a curated record. The transcript is spliced from 4 exons. Lineage: Eukaryota; Metazoa; Chordata; Actinopteri; Clupeiformes; Clupeidae.